AUGAAGAUGGCGCAGAAGGCGAAGAAGAUGACGGUGUGGACGAACAUGGCGAUGCCGUUGGUCUGCAUGCUGUGGAACUCGGGCCGGCCGCGGCCCCCGCCGCCGGGGAUCUCGCAGAUCAGCCCCGGCAGCAUCACCACGAAGAAGGCCGUCGCGAUCAGCACCGGGCCCCAGUCGCCCGACAUGUUCGUCCGAUCAACGGAUGUUGGCCGGACGAUGACGACGACGGUGAUGACAGUGUGGCGUCUGGCGUGA
Molecule: ribosomal RNA, 255 nt
Filed under: Triticum aestivum (bread wheat)
Lineage: Eukaryota; Viridiplantae; Streptophyta; Magnoliopsida; Poales; Poaceae
Description: partial small subunit ribosomal RNA
Source: RNAcentral